Molecule: long non-coding RNA, 490 nt
Filed under: Marmota monax (woodchuck)
Lineage: Eukaryota; Metazoa; Chordata; Mammalia; Rodentia; Sciuridae
Source: RNAcentral
CGGUAGCGACGGGUUGGAGGUCAUUUUCCAUUCUUCAUUUAACUCCAUAACAGCUGUUUUCUGAUAAUCAUUGCAUAGUACAAGUAAAGCCUCAUUAGCCAAGAAGGAGCUCUGGCCCCUCUGUACAAUUGCUUCCUUUCUGAGAUUUAUCUUAUAAAUUCCAUCUGUUUUACUGUUCCCAAAGUUGUCUGUCUCCUCAUCAGCAGGACCAAUAUAUUCUGGCCUCACCAUUCUAUAUCAUAACCAGUAAAUUGUUCCAGUUAGCCAGCGAAAAUAUAAGACACACCUUGUGAGUUUCCUAUCUCCUGAGGAUCAGUUUUGUGCCACCUGUGGUCCAAAGUACAAAAAUAGUUGCUUUAUGGUUUCUCUUGGAUUAUGGUUAUUUACAAUGGAAAUAAUAGUCUGGUACCAGUUACUCUAUCUCAGCCAGUAGAACCUAUUCAUUUCAUAACUACUUUAAAUCACAAAAAUAUAUUUUUCUGACCAUUCU